GAGGAAGGAAAACUUGGAGCUGGUAAAAAUAUCAGAGACUGAGACAGAUGGAAUCCUGAGCGCCUGAGCGCUCUCUCCCGUAGCCCGGAAGCGCCUCCAGGGCGGGACUGACUGUUUUGUUGGUUGCAACAUGCCCUGCUCUUAGACCAACCUCAGUCAUUCAGUAGCUGUUCAAUCUAUAAGGACAAGAAAAAUUUUGCUACGGAGCUGCAGAGUGCCUGCAGUUCUCCAAGUUGCCACUAGAUGGGAGUCUUCCAAGCCUGAAGCCUCCAUGAACCAGGUCGCGGAGCCGGCUUUGCGUGGUGCGGCCACUGGCCUAGGACCUUCAGGAUGUCUUUCCUGGGGCUCAGCCUGCCAGUGCCAGCACAUGCCCCGGGCAGCAAGUGACCUUUCCGCCUGAGACACCCUUUUCUCCACUUCCCUCCAGCACCAGCCAGUUAAACAACCCUUUGUCCUCGGCCCCUUCCGGCUGGGCCCUGAGGCUCCUGGUUCUCUUCCAGGCCCGGAGAGAAGCUUGGGACUAAGACCCCGGCUCCCUCUGCAUCCCGACCAGGGUUCCAGGAUUGAGCCCAAGGCUGAGUCACAGGAAGCCCGAGUCACUCCCACCGCUCGGCUCAGCCCCUCCCAGGGCUGGAGAGCCAGAAAAUGAGGGCGGCUCAUAGCUUCAGUGCAGGGAUUGGUGUCCGUCUACAGGACCGUCAGUCAAAGGUGCCCACGGAGGCAUCGCCCACAUCCAGCCUUCCUUCCAGAAGUCCCUGAACUGGGGCCCGGUAUCUGCGCAGCUGGAGUGACUGCAGCUGUUCUUAGCUCUGGACUCAUGAGUGGUGCCCGUCCCGUACACGGCUAUCAGCCCCUCCGUGGAGCUAAGACGGAAGCAGAGGCGACCCGCUGCCCACGUGGUGCAAA
This is a long non-coding RNA of Mesocricetus auratus (golden hamster), 906 nucleotides long. RefSeq lists it as uncharacterized. The transcript is spliced from 3 exons. The record is from RefSeq and is a predicted model, not a curated record. Lineage: Eukaryota; Metazoa; Chordata; Mammalia; Rodentia; Cricetidae.